AGGAAGAUACGCAAAUAACAGAAACUGGAUGCCUUCAUGGCUCCUCGGUAUUCCAUUAUAUAUGGGAGGUGUACAACAUGAUUAGAGUUUAAUCUACAACCGUGUGGACAAUCCCAACACGUUACGACUUUCUAAGGACAGAGUUACAACUUACUAAGAAUAGAUAUUCUAACAGGCCUUAUGAUGAAAAAAUUCGAUUCGUAGUUGGUGGAAUUAGGGAGAACUAGCUAUAGAGAGUCAUUUUUGUCAUGCCAUUCAGCCAUUGUCACAAAUUCAUAUCAUGACAAAUUUUCAUGAUUUGUGAUAAAACUAUAGUCAUUAGUUAGCAGAGUUCUUGUCGUGCUUUCUGUCGAUUUGCGAUUCAGUGAUUGUACCAUGUCAACGAUAAGGGCACAACCCGGUAUUUUCACAACGGCAAGCUCGCGCGUUGCUUAUCGUCCGGCCAAGAGCUCUUCAAGAUUCGGGUAAAAAAAGCAGCCCUUUGUCCCAUCUCUUUUUCUAUCUCUGCUACAACAUUCCUGGGUUUCACUUCUUUCUCAACCGUGAUUCCCCUUACCCAACUUGUCGCCAUUCUCAUUUCCUUCUCUGUUCUGUUCGUAGCCUACUGGCCCCUCUCUGUCCGCUGUCAUCUUCAACCUCUGUCUCUCUCUCUUUGCCCACUCCAUCUUCAACCUCCGUCUCUUCAACCUCUCUGUCCAUCGUCAUCUUCAACCGCCGUCAUCUUCAACCUCCGUCUCUUCAACCACCGGUGCAUUCAACCUUUCCAUCUCUACCCUCGCCCUUCAGUCUCUCUCUUCGUAUCUCUCUCUGUUGCACUCUCGCCCUUCAGAUCUGAUUCCUAGAUCUCUCUCACUCUGUCUCUUCAAUCCGUGAUGCAUAUGUCUUGAUUAUUUUCACUUCUCUUCGCAAACGACAAUCGUCCUCUCCUCUCGGUGGUCACAUUGUUAGAUCUGGUUUCCUCACAUAUAGUGACCAUGAGUGACUCAGAAGAAGGAAAUCUUGAAGAUGCUUCUUGCAGAAAAUGGUGCUUACUUCUUAGGACCCACCACAUCUGCACAUAAUACCGUAUUCCCAGGUUGCUCGAGAAGACUUAAAAGGUAUGCAGAAUUCAGUAUCUUCCAUUUAUUGACAGUCCCUCCCCUCCAGCUUAUGAAUAUUUAUUUCCAUCCGUGUAUCUCUUAUGUAGGAUGCUGUUAUUACUUGCAUGACUAGUCAUCAUUUAGCAAGUACAUUUGUUUAUUUCACUGAACUGUAAUAGAACUGCAUCCAGUGAUGCUAACUUGAGCUUACAAAAAAUAAAAUAAAAAAUUAUAUAUGCUUGGUUCAUUGGGACUUUCAGGUGCUUUACUUAUUAUGCUGCUUCUGUUGGUUGUAGACUUGCAAUUAGGCGAAUUCAAAGACCGCAUAUCUGAUCUAUAAUAUAUCUUUAGGGUUACUAACUUUCUGCAAUAGUUAGUAGUUUCCAUGUCUUUUGGUUCCUGACAACUAUAGUUGUUAUUACUUCUUUGCUACUGAUGUCAGUGUCAGUUUUCAGUUUAGUUAUCUUCUAAUGUUUUUUUAUUAGAUUCUUAGUAAUACCCGGACCUUAAAUUUCAGUAGAUUUUUAAGGGUGCAGACACAUUGACAAUUAGAAUUAUUCAAACUGAUGUGCUUAGAUUUUACUAGAUUCUACACUGAAGUGUUAAAACUAGUGGUUCUCACUAAUUCUAAUUCUUCUAGAUAAUCUUGACAAUUAAUUACUAUUACAUUACCCAGAAAAGAUAUAUGUUAAAACUAUGUUGUCCUGCAUUGUACCUCCUAAACAAAACAAACAGACCUAUGCUCAAUCUUUAUCAUACAAUCAGAUCUAUCUUUAUGAGACAAUCAGACCUCUGCUUAAUUUGGAUCCCUCUCUACAGGAUAAUUCUGCUAACAGGAUUUGCAUUUUCUUGAUUUUGCACAGGAUUUGGAUUUUUGCUUUGCUCUACCUUCGGAUCUAUCCCCUCCUUGAUUUUGCUUCGUAUUCCUGUUAUGCUUUCCCUGUGGAUCCACCCUCAUCUCUUGAUUUUGUGAAAGUACUCUGCUCCUCCCUCCGUAUGUACCCCACCACUUGAUUUUGUGUUGGAUUUCUAAAGACAAUGUUUUUUUGUUCCCAUCCUUUUAUGCCUGCGAUGAAUCUAUGCACAUCUUUUUUAGUGAGGAAAAAGAUAUAAGUUGAUGAUCAGUUCUAGUGAGGUACUAGGCAAUCUGUCAUUCCUUCCUGCUAAUCCAUUUAUAUGUACUUAGUGCCCUUAGUUUACCACAACGUUAUGUGCGCGCAUUCCCUACUUCAAGAUUCGUGCUGGUCAAAACCUCCCCAGAUCCCUAGAUGCUCCUAGAACAUGAUCAAGUGAUGAAAUAUAGUAUUCUGAGGCCUAACAAAUUUAUAGGUUUCUACUAUUGCCAACCUCUGCUGUUAUAAGUUUGUGUUGGCGCUCAACUUCUCAAUGUUUUAUGUCAAUUUUCUUUUAUAUAUACAACUGUGUAAUGUUAUUUUAAUUUAGUUUUGGAUCUGUUCUAUCCUUGUUUUAGUUGGAUCUGUGUAAUGUCAUUUGUCUUCUAGUGUUGUCUAGUGCUUGAUGGUGAUCUUUUUCAUCCCAACUAUGCCAAUGUCUGGUGUACUGUCAUUUGUCUUCUAGUGCUUGAUGGUAAUCUUUUUGUUUGAAAAUUUUAUUUCUUCAUCAGGUAAGUGGCCAAUGAUGAAAAAUUCCCAAUUUAGUGAUAAAAAAGUGAUCUUGUUCUUGUGAGGGACUGGGUACUUCUAGUUUUCUAGUGUUGUUCUUACUACAAAACAGGGCCGUUGCGGUCUUGUCCAUUCGGAUGACAACCCGGUUUUUUUAGAACGGCAUACACGUGCGUGCCUUAUCCUCCGGUUGCAGCUUCUCCAAGCUUCAACCCCUCAUGUUCACCCAUCUUGCAAUUUCUCUCUAUGGCCCUUAAGCUCCAAGAACAAGAUCAUAUGAACAUAUAGGACCAGUUCUGAGGCCACUAUUUGUCAUAAUUUUAAUGUUUUCCUGUUUUCAACAAUAUUGGUAACUAAUUAUUUAUUGUGCUAAUGAAGGGACUCCAUGUUAAUACUGGAUAUUUAUUUGACCUUUUUGUUAGUAAUUGUUUUCUUCACCAGUUAAGUAAGUGGCCAGUGAAGCGAAAAUCCCAAUUUACUGGUGAAAAUGUGAUCUUAUUCUUGUGCGGGACCGGGUACUUACCGUUUUCUAAUGUUGUUCUUCUUACUACCAAAUAGACCUUAUGUUUUAUUGUGUUGUUGUUCUUUUUCACCUUGAUGCCUUUUCAUGCUAUUGCAAUUUCUGUCUAUAGCCCUUAAGCUCCAAAAACAAGAUCAUAUCAAUAUUCUAUUUAAUGACCUCAUGGCGCAAAUAUACAGUCAUGCAAUUUAGCAAUGUGUUAUUCCAUGAGAGUACAAUUAGUUUAUAGAACUUCCUUAAUCUUGUUCUAAGUUGUGAGAAUAUACAGUCAUGGCGCAAAUAUACAGUCAUGUAAAUAUAGUAUUAUACAGUCUCUGGCUUCUAAGUUGUGAGAAUAUAGCCACUAUUCUACAAAUUGUGCCCCAUUGUACUUUUGUUGAUAUACUUUCAUUUCGCAUAUCUAGAACUUUUAGGUAAUGACCAAAAUCCAUUAAAGGGCAUCUUAUAUCACUUUUGCCUGAAUCACUAUGCUGUUCAAAGAUCAGAUUUCUGCCUGAAUCAGACCAUCCAUGUUUAUAGCUUCAACUUAUGGUCACCACUGUUAUAGGGUUCUUUUGUGAUCAAACUUUAAAGUCCAUAGUUUAUAUUGCAUUGUUGUUUUGCUAGAGUCAUCUAACAGAUAGUUGGCUGCGUAUCAUACUUUUUUUUUCACUGUAUGUCAAACAUGGAUCUAAUGGUCACAGCCAUGACCUUGGAUGUGUAUCUAUUUUUUUGUUUACUCUUUUCUUAUGAUUGGUGUACGUGGUUCUUGUGUGAUGCAUAGCCAGAUCCUCUUCAGAGUUCAUUCAGAGAUACAAUACUACUUCUGCAGUGCAUACGCUUUAAAGAUAAGACACUUUACUGGUAGUGUAUGGAACUUAAGAGAGAAAAUAUUCUGUUGUAGUACUUCACACACUUAACAUGAUAUAUCUAGUGGUCAGUGAGGACUCAUUAGUUC
This is a long non-coding RNA of Sorghum bicolor (sorghum), 4158 nucleotides long. RefSeq lists it as uncharacterized. NCBI's taxonomy places the organism in Eukaryota, Viridiplantae, Streptophyta, Magnoliopsida, Poales, Poaceae. The transcript has 3 exons. The record is from RefSeq and is a predicted model, not a curated record.